Molecule: non-coding RNA, 28 nt
Filed under: Homo sapiens (human)
Lineage: Eukaryota; Metazoa; Chordata; Mammalia; Primates; Hominidae
Source: RNAcentral
UCAACCUUUGGACCUGGGGCUUACCAUC